Sapajus apella (tufted capuchin) is the source of this 193-nucleotide long non-coding RNA. RefSeq lists it as uncharacterized. The transcript is spliced from 3 exons. NCBI's taxonomy places the organism in Eukaryota, Metazoa, Chordata, Mammalia, Primates, Cebidae. The record is from RefSeq and is a predicted model, not a curated record.
AGGUCUCUGAAUGCUCUAAUCUCCCUCCAGGCUGACAGUACAUGCUCCCCAGGUUUUCUCAUUAACCCCUCAGGACAGCUCUGUAAGGAUGAUAUGGUCAGUCCCAUUUCACAGAUGACUAACUCAGGCUCACAGAAUCUAAGUCACCACCCCAGAGACAAGGUCCUGCUAUGUUGCCCAGGCUUGUCUUGAA